RNAcentral lists this ribosomal RNA (300 nucleotides) under uncultured Lactobacillus sp. Its description in RNAcentral is "bacterial SSU rRNA". It matches the Rfam family "Bacterial small subunit ribosomal RNA", at positions 496 to 795 of the family's 1533-position model. The record is from RNAcentral. Lineage: Bacteria; Bacillati; Bacillota; Bacilli; Lactobacillales; Lactobacillaceae.
GCUAAAGCUGUGGCAUGGGACGGGGUAGUACAGAGGGUGCGAGCGGUAAUGGGAAGUACUGGGCGUAAAGCGGACGUAGGUGGUGGGGUAAGUUGGAUGUGAAAUCCCCGGGCUUAACUUGGGAAUUGCAUUCAAGACUGCCGUGCUAGAGUGUGGAAGAGGGAAGCGGAAUUCCAGGUGUAGCGGUGAAAUGCGUAGAUAUCUGGAGGAACAUCAGUGGCGAAGGCGGCUUCCUGGUCCAACACUGACACUGAGGUGCGAAAGCGUGGGGAGCAAACAGGAUUAGAUACCCUAGUAGUC